CCCAAGGCUCACGCCAUUGGGCUAUAUUAUGUCAUGCCUUCGGCACU
Molecule: small RNA, 47 nt
Organism: Lentisphaera araneosa HTCC2155
Lineage: Bacteria; Pseudomonadati; Lentisphaerota; Lentisphaeria; Lentisphaerales; Lentisphaeraceae
Rfam family: Acido-Lenti-1 RNA
Source: Rfam